This is a non-coding RNA of Peromyscus maniculatus bairdii (prairie deer mouse), 2365 nucleotides long. The record is from RefSeq and is a predicted model, not a curated record. NCBI's taxonomy places the organism in Eukaryota, Metazoa, Chordata, Mammalia, Rodentia, Cricetidae.
AGUUGGCCACAUUGAUUCUUUCUGACCCAUUUGCAGCUAAUUAGCAACUAAGUCACAAAUACGCAACAGAAAACCACCACCAUGGCCGUUUGGAAGGCUAGAGGAAAGCUAUCUCUCCAUUGCCUCUCAUCAGGUUUUGGCAGACAAUAUGAAGGAAGCCAUGCAUGACCAGCGGUAUAUGAAAACAUGCAUGGUUUUGCAAGUCAAAGCCACCAGGAGGGGUCGCCUCACCCUUGCUGGGGUGACCUUUAUCAGAACAUCAAGAGGAGACCAGCUCCACUAACAGCAUGGAGGAAAGGCGCCCAGCUUCCGUGUCGACAGAAGUGUAAACUGGUGCUGCCCUUAUGGAAAACCAUAUGAAUGUUUCUCGAAAAGUGAAAAAUAGAACCAUGACGCGACCCAGCGAUCUCACUUCUCAGUCUAAAUCUAAAGAUAAGAAAAUCACUGCUUUGAAGAGAAACCUAUCGUCCCAUGUUCUUAGCAGUACUAUGCAAAAGAACCAAGUUCUGAAGAGAUCCGAGUGUCUGUUGGCAGAUGGAUCAGUAAGGAGAGUGCGAUAUAAACAGGGAAGCAGACACACACAGAGAUGGGGGGGGCAGAGGAACAUUGUUUAGCUUUUAACAAGAAGGCUUACACGGGAAACCUAAAACUAGGUUGAACUCAUAGUAACAGGAGAAUGGCAGUUACCUGGGAAUAGGUUUGAAGUGCAGAUCUUAGUCAAAAUAUAAACCUUUAGUUAUAAGAGGAAUAAGUCACCGAGACCUAAUUCAGAGAACAGUGGUGCUGGGUAAUAGUGGUGUCUUAUAUGCCAGAAAUUGUGCAUGCAACAUAUACAUGCACACACAUACAUGUACCCCCUCAUACACACACACAUCACACAUAUAUCCACAUACACAUACAGUACACACAUACACACAUAUACAUAUACCACACACACAUGUAUGCAUAUACAACAUGCACACAUAUAUACACACUACACACAUUCAUAUGUACACAUAUAUGCACAUACAUGCCCAUAUAUACACACAAUUAAUUAUGAGAAGUGACAUAUAUCUUAAUUUGAUUGAGGUAAAGCCUUAUAGAAUGUAGGCAUAUAUGAGAAUACCAUGUUGUGUACCCUCAAUAUAAAAAAAAAUUAAUUCAUCAAUCAUACCUCAAUAAAUAAAUCCCCAGGGAAAAGAAACUAUGACUGAAUCUUAGCCACUUACAGUCCAUGGGGCAAAGGUUCCUGUGCUACUCAUUCACAUGCCUGUGAUCUUCAGGCUCUGCCGACCUCCUCAUCAAGGAGACCAAGAGCAGCCACCAUGCUGAACACCGUCGUCCUCCCCCCCCACCCCUUGCCACAAGCAAAGGUCUCCAGCAGGCCCUGCACCAGCAAGGAGAUGCAGCAGUCUGGAAGCUCAUCCUCAGGACUCCUCACACAGCCCGCCACAAGCAUGGAGGGAAGACAGUCCCACUAAGCCGGCAAGGCAAAGAAGCCAACACACGUUGGCAAACAGUGUAACACUAUGUACUGAAAGACAUGCUAAAAACCUGUAUCCGCGCUGACCCAACCUGGGUCUGGUCCCCAGAAUUACAACAAGCUUUGAUUGGAGGAAGGUUGCAGAAGAGGCCUGGAAAAGAAGACUGAUUAAGCUUUCUUGAGAUUGCCUGCUAAAGAGGUUCCUUUUUACAAGUCUUAACAGACUGCGCCUAAUAGCAAAACUGAUCUCUAUAGAUUUUGCCAGCGUUACACAAUUAGACCAGCAUUUUAGAGCCUUUACUCCAGCGGCCAUGUGGACAUGUAGACGAGAGACUUGUUGAAUUGAGAACACACCUAAGUUGGGAGGCCAGUGAGGAAACUCGUGCAGAGGACAGGGUGUAAAACGUGCACUUAAAAUGAAGUGAUGCUCUUUGCGAUCAGCAAGUUAGGUGGAAGGCAAGGGUCUAAAGAGAAUGUACAGGACUUGUGUGGGAGAAAGUGUGAGGCAAAGGAGCUAAGGAGAGCCUGUGAUUGACAGCACAGCCGCCCAGUGGCUGCCGAGACUUGUAACUUAGAGGGUAGAGGAGAGAGUGUUCAUUCUGGGACAGCUCCUAGGUCAGCUUGUGAUUGACAACCUGAUGGCAUUCUUCCUUACUGUCCAGAGAGAAAUAAACAUCAUGUCCUUGUUUCUAGGCAAACUUCGAGCCUUCAUUUCUGUCUGGUUUAUUUCUCUCACUCAGGCUGAGGACUAGAGCCUCCAUAGCUGGCCAUGAACUUGGCAUGUGAAGAUGGAAGUUUACUCUGCCAUAAUUUCUCCUUGAUUUUCCUCUCUGCACUAAAUUUGAUUUCCAAGAGUACAUAAUUAAAUAAAUUAACAGAAAGACAUGUUCUUUAUAGACUUAA